RNAcentral lists this ribosomal RNA (458 nucleotides) under Weissella confusa. Its description in RNAcentral is "bacterial SSU rRNA". It matches the Rfam family "Bacterial small subunit ribosomal RNA", at positions 338 to 795 of the family's 1533-position model. Lineage: Bacteria; Bacillati; Bacillota; Bacilli; Lactobacillales; Lactobacillaceae. The record is from RNAcentral.
CCUACGGGAGGCAGCAGUGGGGAAUAUUGGACAAUGGGGGCAACCCUGAUCCAGCAAUGCCGCGUGUGUGAAGAAGGCCUGCGGGUUGUAAAGCACUUUUGGCAGGGAUGAAAAGCUGGAUUAAUAACGUGUUGACGUUACCUGCAGAAGAAGCACCGGCUAACUCUGUGCCAGCAGCCGCGGUAAUACAGAGGGUGCAAGCGUUAAUCGGAAUUACUGGGCGUAAAGCGCACGUAGGCGGUUGGUUAAGUCAGAUGUGAAAGCCCCGGGCUAAACCUGGGAAUUGCAUUCGAUACUGCUUGGCUAGAGUGUGGAAGAGGGAAGCGGAAUUCCCGGUGUAGCGGUGAAAUGCGUAGAGAUCGGGAGGAACACCAGUGGCGAAGGCGGCUUCCUGGUCCAACACUGACGCUGAGGCGCGAAAGCGUGGGGAGCAAACAGGAUUAGAUACCCGAGUAGUC